GUUUCCGUAGUGUACGUAGUGGUUAUCACGUCCGCUUUACACGCGGAAGGUCGCAGGUUCAAGUCCUGCCGGAAACA
Molecule: transfer RNA, 77 nt
Filed under: Pocillopora damicornis (cauliflower coral)
Lineage: Eukaryota; Metazoa; Cnidaria; Anthozoa; Scleractinia; Pocilloporidae
Description: tRNA-Val
Rfam family: tRNA
About the family: Transfer RNA (tRNA) molecules are approximately 80 nucleotides in length.
Source: RNAcentral